RNAcentral lists this ribosomal RNA (174 nucleotides) under uncultured bacterium. RNAcentral's name for it is "partial 16S ribosomal RNA". It matches the Rfam family "Bacterial small subunit ribosomal RNA", at positions 338 to 524 of the family's 1533-position model. The record is from RNAcentral.
CCUACGGGAGGCAGCAGUGGGGAAUAUUGCACAAUGGGCGAAAGCCUGAUGCAGCGACGCCGCGUGAGGGAUGACGGCCUUCGGGUUGUAAACCUCUUUCAGUUCCGACGAAGCGAAAGUGACGGUAGGAGCAGAAGAAGCGCCGGCCAACUACGUGCCAGCAGCCGCGGUAAU